This is a long non-coding RNA of Cuculus canorus (common cuckoo), 605 nucleotides long. RefSeq lists it as uncharacterized. Lineage: Eukaryota; Metazoa; Chordata; Aves; Cuculiformes; Cuculidae. The record is from RefSeq and is a predicted model, not a curated record. The transcript has 3 exons.
ACAGAAUUUACAUGUUAAAUUCGAGUAAAUUUCAACUCAGCCGCUGGCUCCGUGUCAAAAUGCUAAGGAAUUGAGGUUCUUAGACACCGUCUUCAAAUUCACUGGAAAGGAAGUCAUGAAACAUUCAUGUUGCCCAAGCACACGGGGAGGAUGGAGCGUGUGAGCGCACGGGUCAUUGGGGGUCAUUGGGAUGCUUUUGGGAGACUCGGCUCCUUCACAGGAUCUUUGUGUUGAUGGGUCUGUUGCUACAGUGCCAUUCAAAGUUGUGCAAGAGCUUUGCAAACAUGCAAGAAGAUGAGUCUCUGCUUGAAUGAGAUUGUAAUCUUUGAAGGCAACAGCAAACGCUGAGCAUGUGCCUAACUCCUGAAAGCAGGUCUGAGAACAUCGGUCAAAAAAUUGGCAUUGUCAUUAGGAGAUAAGUGUUAAAAUUCCAAACAUUUUAAAACUAAUUAUGCUGUCUGAUUUCUCUUAACUUGUCAUUAAUUGUGGUUAUUAUUCUUUGUGCUUUCUGGUGGAGAUGUCACAGUGUUUCUUGAUGUCUUUUCCAUUGAUUUAUCAGAGACCGAGAUUUUAGCUUGUGAACGUUUUAGUAGGUAUUUUGGUAA